CACGAAUCCCAAACUUGCCGCUCCGCGGGGCGGGGAGGGCGGCGGGAGCCCCCCCGGCGGCCGCCGAGGGCCGGAGCCCAUUGUGUGCGCCCCGCUGCCCGCCGCGGGGGGACGCGGCGGCGCCGGGCUGCCCUCACGGCCGCCAACGGCCGGGCCUUGUCCGCCCGGCCCUUCCUGCCGCCCGGCCGGGCCCGGGCCGGGCCGAGGCGAGGCGGAGGGGCCCCGGUGCCCGCGGGCAGCCCGGAAGGGCGGCAGGGAGAAGAGGAGCGGCGAGUUUCGGCCCCCGAGCCGCGGCUCCCCCCGCCCCGGCACCUCGCCCCAAACUUUCCGAGCCAGCCUACCUGGGGGCGGGGGUCCCGCCGGCUCCUUCCCCUCAGCGCCGCUGGCCGCCCAGCGGCCGCCCGCACCACGCCAUCGCCGGCCGCCGCCGCCCCGAGCUCCCGGCUCCUCACUCCACCUUCCGGCCCUCUCCCGCCGCCCAGCGCCCUCCUCCUCCGCGCUGUGUGCCGGGCCCGCCCGCGCGCUCUCACACAAAGGAGAGGGAGCGGCGGGCGCGCCCCCGCUCCUCUCGGCGCGUGUGGGGGGGAGAGGGGCCGGGGGGCGCGCCCGGCCCUGCCCUGCCGCUCCGCUCCGCACCGCGCCGCGCCGGCCUCGGGGUGCCGCCGGGGCUGCUCGGGCACGCGCGGGGCUGCGGCGGCCCCGGCUCGUGAGGGCGAGUCCUGGCAGCCGGGGCGGCGGGCGCUGCGAGGCGGAAGCGAAGGGAAGGAAUGCCAACGGCUCCGGGAUUGCCGCCCGCCCUCCCAGCRGCCGCGCUACGUGAGCCCGUCCCGAGGCCCUCAGGGCUCCGCGGGCACCUGCCGGCGGUACCGGGCGGGGAGGUGUGCCCGGCCCCCCGCAGCAGCUUCCGAGGGCUCUGGGAAGGAUGGGUGCCUGUGGUCGGUAGCCUCAGGCGGCACUAGCACAGGAUCAUUGGGGUUGGAGAAGACCUCCAAGAUCAUCUGGUGCAACCAUCGCUCUACCGCCAAUGUCACCCACUAA
This 1038-nucleotide long non-coding RNA is filed under the name Anas platyrhynchos platyrhynchos (common mallard). RNAcentral describes it as "lncRNA (ENSAPLG00000020970.1)". Lineage: Eukaryota; Metazoa; Chordata; Aves; Anseriformes; Anatidae. The record is from RNAcentral.